UGGUUUCUUGGCUUAAUUCUUGAAGAUGACAGAGGAGAGAGACUGUGUUGUUGUUAGGAUUGAAAACUUGCUUCAUCAUUUGUCUACUUCUCUCACUCCCUCAAAGCCUAUCAUAGCUAAAGUAGAUCAACACCUGAGGCAAGUAAAUGAAAAGGAUUUUGAACCCGAAUUAGUCUCUAUAGGUCCAAUCCAUCGUGGGAAAGAUCGCGUUAAGGCCAUGGAGCAACACAAAGUGAGGUAUCUAAGCAAAUUGUUGGGAAGAAGAGAUGAGUUGAGCAUUGAGAAAUGUGUGUUGGAAGUGAGAAGCAUGGAGGAAAAGGCUCGCCUUUACUACGCGAAAUCAAUCAGUCUUGAUCAAGAUGAGUUCGUGGAGAUGUUGCUUCUUGAUGGAUGCUUUGUGAUUGAGCUGCUAAGAAGCUAUUGGUUUAGUGAUUUGAGAGACAAGAAUGAUCAAAUAUUUCAAUUUGAUCACAUGUUAGUCCAAAUAAGGCAUGAUCUUCUGUUGUUGGAGAACCAGCUCCCUUUCUUCGUGUUGAACGAGUUUUUCGACAUGACAAGGAUGGAACAUCCAGACGAUGACAUACACCAUCUCCUCCUCUUUCUAGCCGGAGACAUGUUCCCAUGGCCGGAUUCCUCAAUGCUCAACUCGAGUUCAGAUAUGUUACACAAUGCUGAGCAUCUAUUAGGCCUACUUUAUCAUUCUUCAUUCUCAUUCUCAUUCUCAUUCACUGAAAACAACGGUAGCAACACGUGCCUCGUGGAGCCAUGAAACUCCCACCAUUAUGCAUAUCUGAUAAAUUCUUCAUUCAUGCAUUACUAAUUUCAUAAUUUAUCUUUUAUUAUUAUUAUUAUUAUUAUUGACAAAACUGAAACAAAUAAAGUUUUUAGAUAUGAAAAAUAUAUUUUUCUUCCCUAUACAAAUAAAAUAUAUGGAUAUAUUUUAUAAAAAAUAAAAAUAAAAUUUUAAUUAUUUUGAUAGACAUAAAAUAAGAUUUUGUUUUAAAGUAAUCAGGUUAUAGAAUUUGUGCCUUAUUAUUCAAACAUGUAAAUCAAUGACAGAACCCGUUUAUAAUUUACAUACACGUGCAUGUCUCAAUUCAAAAUCAAUUUAAAAUUAAUUAUAUUGAAAAUUACAUAUAAUAUAUACGCUUUUGAGAAAUAUAAAAUUAAUAACAAAUAUACAUCUAAUACUAACAUUCAAUUAAAACCAUUAUUUUAUAAAUCAUAAGUCCCACGAAGCAGACAUGUAAAUCUAAUUUUUAUCGAGAUAAAAUAAAUAAUAAAAUUUAUUAAUUUAAAUUAUAUGUAAGUUAUUAUUAUUAUUAUUAUUAUUAUUAUUAUAUAGAUUAUAAUUUUAUUUAUUAUCAUACAUGUAAAUUAAUUUUUAUCUAGAUAAAAUAAAUAAUAAAAAUUUAUUAAUUUAGAUUAUAUGUAAGUUAAUAUUAUUAUAUAUAUAUAUAUACACACAUUUAUUACUAAUUAUAUUUAUUAAGAUUAAUGAAUCUUUAUAUGGAAUGUAAUAGUUAAUUAAUUAAUAAAUAAUGAAGAUUAUAUAUGACAAAUUAUUGAAAUGAAAUAAUUCUAAGCAUGUCACAUAGGUUAAGGCUUAAUUCUAUCAUAAAGAAGAUGGACCGGCACUAUUUACCGGUCUAGAUAAUCCGGUACAAAACUCGGUGGGUUUUUACCUUGGGACACGUGUUUUAAUCUGGGGCAACUCAGCAAAGACUUUUCCCCCAUUGUUGAACCUCCACCGCGGGGGGGCUUGGAAGUUGCGAAUGCCAUAAUCCAUGUGUUUGUCAGUCAGAGUUUGCCUCCAUAGUUGACUUGGAAAAUGAUGAAGUCUAUAUAAAACUCCUCAUGCUUCAGCGCUAUACAGCGCCUCAAAGCUUCAAACGUUCCUUUGUCUGAGCUCACAUUUCUCAUAGAUGGAAAAUUUCUUGGAAGUUAGCAAAGAUACAGCAAGCAUACCAAGACGAGAUCUAUGGUAAGAUUUUCUUCAUCAAUUUUAUAAACUGCAACUCCAAAUUUCUGUUUUAUCGGAUGAAAUUCACGAAUAUUGCUUUGAUUCUAGUUAAUACUCUCUCUCUCCCUCUCUCAGCCAUACACCCUCCAAUGUUUCCUACAGAUAAAAUCUGAUAGUGUCUCUAGGGAUGUCAAUCGGGCCAGUCCAUCAGGUUUUCGGGCUAGUCCUAUCGGGUUCCGGGUUAGUCGGGUGCGGGCUAAUCGGGUUGGAGAUUUUUUCGAUUGUAAAUCUUCAACCCUAACUCUAAACUUUCGGGUUUCGGGCUAGCCCAUCGGGCUAAUCAGGUUAAAGGCGUAAAAAUAAAAUUAUAAUUUGUAUUUUAUUAUUCCUAAUGAUCUAAUGUAUAAUGUAUAAAAUAUACAUAGAUAUUAAAUAUAUAAAUUAUAUAGCAAAGCAUGAAAUGCAAAAAUAUAAGAUAUUCAAGAUUACAUAAACAAAAUUAUAUUAAAAUGAGAUAGUAAAAUUUAACAUGUAUCAAUGCAUUAGAAUCAAUAUGGAUUAUUACUGAAUAAUUAGUGGAUUUGCCAUGCACGUCUCAUUGACAAGAAAAAAAAAUGGUAUCACUUUAAAAUGAGAUACUAAUAAUUAAUUUCUAACUAAUGAGAUACUAAUAAUCAAUUUCUACAAAAAAUCCGUAAUUAAUUUCACUUUUUUUAAUGAGAUUGCACACACACACACACACACACACACACACACACACACAUAUACUAACUAAUUAAUUACUUACUUUUAGUAGUAGACUAAUAUAUAUAGUUAAGCAAAUACCAUAGAUCUAAACAUAGCAGAAGUUGUAACUGGAUGCAUUAGUCACAAUUCCGUCACGCCCACCGGGCCAGCCCAUCGGGUUUUCGGGCUAGCCCUAGUCCGGGUUCGGGUUAGUCGGGUGCGGGCUAAUCGGGCUGGGUAGGUUUUUUCGGGUUGCGUAUUUUUCAACCCUAACCCUGUAAUUUUGUCGGGUUAUUCGGAUCGGCCCACGGGUUUCGGGCUGCAUUGACAUCCCUACGCGUGAGUAAAAAAAAUGAGUUUUUUCCUCUCUUUUCUCUCUCUCUUCUCCCGCCAAUUUUUCUCUUUCUUCUAUUUUUAUUUUAUUUUAAUUUUUUUUCUAAAUAUCAACAGAUUUGAUUUGUGAAAAAAUAUUCAAUAUUGAUCUUAAAUUUAAGUUCGUGACAAGAUUUUUAAUAUAGUAUAAAAAUUAUUCAAAAAGAUUCAAAACAAAAAAGUUAUCAAAAAACUAAAAUAUAAAAAUUCUAGAAUCUUGCUCCAGGAAUUGGUUAGGAGUUAAAAAGAGAAUCACCUGCUUUACCACUAUGUCUCCUGCUCCAACCUCAAUUCUUUGCAUGCNUUCAUUAUCGAAUAAUUUUUAAAUUUAUUUAAUAACUAUAAUUAUCAAUAUAUUUUGUAUUAGUUGAAAAUUUAUAUUUUUAAAUUCAAAAUUUUAUUGAGUAACUUAUGUGAAUUACUAUUAUAUUUUAUUUAUAAAACAUAUUUUGUAUUUAUUUAUAUUUUGAUUUUUUAUUUAUUUAAAUUUUCAUUUAAUUUCGAUAUCCAUCGUCGAUCAUACGUAUGGGCGUAUACUAGUUAUUAUUAAAUGAGAGGAUAUAGUGAAAAUUUUGGAAGCCAUGUUUAAAAUCACCCACCAAAAUAAUCGGCAACUCUUUUGUUUUCUUUUUGGGCUAUUUCCUUCUUCGUCUUUUGUUAUUUACAAUUAGCUUGGCUCAAACUAAUGAGUCCAAGUUCAAGCCCAACAUUCUUCUUUUGCUUGUGUUUUUAAUUAGUUGGGCUCAAACUAAUGAGGGCCCACAAACAGUAGACAUAUUAGCCCAAUUUAUAACCGGAACUCAUGCUGGCUGUGGGGGUUGUAAUCAACUCGAGCUAGCAAACUUAGGGCUGUUAAAUGGGCCGGAUCAGGUCAGCCUGGCCCAGACUCACUGAGCUAUCAACUUGUACCGGAUCAGCUUGACCCGGCCCGAAAUAUGAUUGGGUUGUAAAUCAUAACUAAAUUGGCCUAAUAUUUUUUUUUAUAUGAAAUGUUAAGACUUAUAAAUCUAUGGCUUAUAAAUAAAUAUAUCCAUCAAAUAAAUUAUCUAAUAAAAGUAAUGAAUAGAUAGAUUUUCUAAAAUAAUAGAUUAUCAAAUAAAAUAACAUUAAUUACAUGUAUAAAUAAAUAUAUUCAUUCAAUAAAAAUAAUUAAUCAAUAGAUUUUUUAAAAUAAUAGAUUAUCAAAUAAAAAAAUAUUUACAAUUAAAAAAAAAAAGGAAAAACACCUAAUUCACGAACAGUAUCCAUUCACUUAGCUCAUCUUCCAAUUCUCUCAAAGUAGGCCUUUCCUCCACUGCUCCGCCACUCUCCUCAUCAUCAACAGCUCCAGACACCGAAUCUCCCCCAUUUUCCGACGCCCUCCGCCACGGAAGAAGUUGGAGCAGGCGGGGAAGAACGCCUGCGCGGCCGCCGCGCAUGCAGCCGGGAAGCGCGUGGGUCCCAUCUACGUGGAGCUCGUAAACUAGCAACGGAAAACUCGUCUCCAAACAGCACCCCGAAAUCCUAGUUUCGUUUCCGCGGCGUAGAGAGCGACGGAUCACCUCGCCGAUGAACUGCUUGAUUUUCGAUUCCGGCACCAGCGUCGGAAUCUUCAUCACGACGGCCUCUCGAUUAUUCUCGAAGGUUCCGCGGCAGAAUUUCCCGUCCGUCUCACUGUAAUUGUUGGUGGCGAUCUCCAUUUCCUGAGCUGUGUAUAUUUUGAGUUGCGCAGAUCUCGAUCUCUUGCGAUUGGAUAGCUUCUUCUUCAGUAUGUUUCCGCCAUUCCUGUCGAACAAGCUCAUUCUGUUGUGCUCGAGCUUCCGUCUCCGAUGCGUCCAAACGAUCCAAGUGCUCGCGAAGAGGGGCGCUAGCACGAACACCCCCAAUAAGUAGGGGAUUUUGGAGUCGAUGAUGCAGAUUCCAUGGCAGCUCCGCAAGGCGACCGAGGUUGUUUUGGUGACGGAGGAAGAGAGGGUGAGAGAGAAAAACAUCAACUUGAAAGGAACGGAAUUGUGGAGACAGAUUUUCAGAAGAAUCUUCAAAGGGGUGGUGGUUGGACAAGAUAGGAGACAAGAGUUUAAAAGUGCAAACAUAGUAUAUGAAAAAAAAAGAGGGUUAAUAUGUAAAAACAUAUAUAUACAAAAAAAAGGGGGUUAAUAUGCAAAAACAUCCUAACGUUAUAUAUCACUCUAACUAUACUUAAGUCCCUAAUCUAACGUUGAUAGCAACUAACACCCCAAAGUUCAUUAAGUACUACAAUUAAACCCAUAACAAAAUUUCUUGUUAUUUGAUACUAGUAUCUGACCAUAAUCUAGUCAAAUAUAAAAGAAAAUAAAAUUAAAUAAGUUGGCGAAUACUUAGUAAUUAAGGAAAAAGAAAAAAAUGGUGUAGGCACUCUUUUGGAAAUUGGAAUUGGAACCAGCAAUUUUGCUAUCUUUCUUUUUUCUUUGUUUUCGUCUGAUGUUCUUCUUCUUCUUCUUCUUCUUCUUCUUCUUCUUCUUCUCUUUUUUAUUUGUUUUUUUAUUUGUUUUUUUUAAUACUGUUUUUUCUUAUCUUUCUUUAUAUACUAGUGUGUAACUCGUCGAAAUUCGACGAGAAACCAUUGCACAUCAUAAUUAUUAUUGUAUAUUAUUUAUAGUUAUUGUAUAUGAAAUGAUCUUUAUAUAUAUAAAUUAUUUUUUAAUUAAUUUUGUUUCAUCAAAAUAAAUUGUGUAGAUUGCCUUUACAUGUAAGUUUUUAUUUGAUAAAAUUUCACAAAAAAUUGAUGUGAUGUUGAAGAUUUUAGAAAAAAAAGAUUUAGGUAUAUUUGAAAUAGGAUAUAAUGAAGAAUUGAUAGAUUGUACUUUUUGUUAAUAGUAUGUAGAAAAGAUUUACCUUCAACCAAUCUCACUCGAUAAUCUUUAGGUUUUCUCCCAACAAAAAAAAAAAAAGAAAGACAUGCAAAUUAAACCUAACAAAAUAUUACUACUUCCAUUUUCCCAUAUUUGGCCUAUAUUUUUAAGGUCAAUGAAAGUGGGCUAUAAUUUGUCUCCAAACAGCAGCCCGCAAUCCUAAUUACAUUUCCGCCGCGUAGAGUGCGACGGAUCACCUCGUCGAUGAACUGCUUGAUUUUCAAUUCCGGCACCAGUGACGUACGGAAUCUUCAUCACGACGGCCUCUCGAUUAUUCUCGAAGGUUCCGCUGUAGAAUUUCCCCGGCUCUCUGUAAUUGUUAGUGGCGAUCUUCAUUUAGGAGAGAUGCGGCCGGCUGUUUAGGUUUUAAAUUAUACUACUAGAAUCCAAUUUUUUACUUUUUAUUCAUAUUCAUUUUAUUUCCUUCUUAUCUUUUUUUUAUAUUUUUUUAUUUUUAUGUCCAAAUCAAAAGUUGCCUCCAAGAUGAUGAAUUUUUUGAUAAUUAACCAUUUUUUAUACUACUAUUUUAUUGCAAUUUUUGCUGGAUGAGUUUGUUGAUCAGAUGUUGCUGGCUUUCUCAUUGAUCUUGUUAUUGUUAUAUAGUAAUGCUCUAAGCGUGUAAUUAAAUAACCAAUAAUUGCACCUAAUCUUUUCUUAUAGCUACGUGGAUUCAGCAUCAUAUGUUUCUGAUUUCUUUGCUUCAAUUCUAGAUUUUAAUAUAUUUGUGAUAUUUUUUUUUUGGUAAUUGAUGUAUAAAUACAUAAAUUUUAGUCAUUUUUUGGUAUUUAACAUGAAUUUUAAAAUCUAGUUAUAAAUGCAUGAAAUUUAAAUUUAUUUAAUUUUUGACCCAUUUUUUAUAUCUGAUAAAAUUAAUGCUGAUAUGUCAAAAUUAGAACUUAGUUAGCAAAUUAAUUCUCUAGCUAGCAUCUGACUAAGAAAUUUCUUCUCCUCCAUUCAAUUUAUACAAAAAAAACCCUUUCACUUUUACAAAAUAUAAUAUAAAGAGUAAUUUUUUAUUUGUGUGGACUGAGGUGUUGUCCUCGUCGGUUUUUGANAAUUCUCUAGCUAGCAUCUGACUAAGAAAUUUCUUCUCCUCCAUUCAAUUUAUACAAAAAAAACCCUUUCACUUUUACAAAAUAUAAUAUAAAGAGUAAUUUUUUAUUUGUGUGGACUGAGGUGUUGUCCUCGUCGGUUUUUGAAAGCAAGGGCGGUGGCGAACCACCAUUCGAGGCCCCUGGAUCUGAUGUUUUUUUUGUAAAGGGGUUUUUUUUGCAUAAAUUGAAUGGAGAAGAGGAAAUUUAUUAGUCAGAUGCCAGCUAGAGAAUUAAUUUUGCCAACUAAAUUCUAAUUUUGACAUGUCAAUAUUAAUUUCAUCAGAUAUAAAUAUCGGGUCAAAAAUUAAAUAAGUUUAAAAUUCAUGUAUCUAUAACCAGAUUUUAAAGUUUAUGUUAUAUACCAAAAAGUGAGUAAAAUUUAUGUAUUUAUACGCUAAAUACUUUUUUUUUUCAAGAAAGAAAGAUAAUUAGCUAUUCAACGCCGGAGGAAAACAUGUAAUUUGGUGUUGCAUUCACACAAAGUAAAUUUCCAAGAACUUUCCUACCAGAGAACUCAAAUAUUUCAAGAAGGGCUCCUCUAAACUGUCACCCAAAAUUUAUUCCCACAUUAGUAGAGGAGGGAAUUGGAAAAUACGCAAUUCAUAGAAACUAAAUUGCAUGGAGGAUUAGGCCAUAUAUAUAUGCACUUGCAGGAAAACAACAUGAAAUUUCCAUUUCUUUUCAACUGGUAGAAAACCACCAUGAAAUUUUCAUCUCAACGGACAACGCGUAUUCAAUUUUACAUUUUUUUUUCUUUUCCUCUAAUAAAAAGAAAUUAAAAUAGGAUGAAAUAUAACUAUAAAUAUACAAUCGAAGAAAUUAAUCAAAACAAUGAUAUGGCUACGUUGUGAUCAAUUUAUUUUCAGUUGGAUUCUUGCUCCCAAAUUUGGAGCACCUUUGAAACUCUGUUUCAUUCUCAAUUGAAAGCUUCGAUCUUUGCAUCUUGUAAUGGGACGGAAGGAGUAACAAUUUAUUUUAAAAUAAAUAUUAAUUCAAUUAAGAAAUUAAGAAUCGUAGGAGAGAAAUGAUGGGACAAAGAGUUGGGACAUCUGAUUCUAAUUAGUUUCCUGAUGGCUAGGUUUAAUUAUUACUAUUAUUUUAUCAAAUUUUAAAAUAUGAAUUUUUAUAUAAAAGUAUAAUAGUACAUCUAUUAUUAUUUUUAAAUGAAAGGCUAAGUAAAAGAAUUACUAGUAACUAUGUUCAAAAUCACCCCACCGGAAACAAUUAGCAACCCUUUUGAUAUAUUCUUUUCUUUCUGGGCUAUUUCCCACUUCUUCUUUUUUUUUUUGUUAAUAAUUAGAUGGGCUCAAAAUAAUGAGGGCCGAACCUCAAGCCCAACAAUCUUAGACUUCCCAAAAAAACUUAGGUAUUAAAUUGAGCUUGAAUUUUUUAUUUAUUGAAUUUUCAAAGCUCACGAAUUUAUUUGAAACUUACUUUAGACUAAGAGAACUUUUUAGAUUUAAAUAUUAAUUACUUUUUAAAAUAAUAUUUUAGAAAAGCAUACUCGCUUCUCACAAAAACAUGAACAUUUCAAUUUUUGUACAUUACCUCAUUAUCUUUUAUCCCUCAUUUUCACAAAAAAUCAUCAUGACUAUUGGCUCACCACUACUUUUCCUCACUUAAGAGCACCCACAAUGGAUGACUCGAUCGUCGCCACUCGAAUCACCCAUAGAUCAGGUCUCCCACUGCAGCGGUCAUGGACUCGAGACUGACCUGAUUUAUCGGGUGAGGCCAGGGAAAAAAAAAAUCUCAAAAAACAUACCUGAACUCGGCGAGAAGUGAAGAUGAAGAAGAUGAAGUGCAAAACAUGAUCACGGCUUUUAUUUAGAUUUAAUUUUAGGGCUUUUAUUUAGCUGACUUUGGCCUUUUAAUUUUAGGUCUUUAAAUUUUUUUCAAUUUUAAAUCUAUAUUUAAAUUUUAGUAAUUAGUAUUAAUGUAAUUUUCAUUUGAAGUAAAUUGUGUUAUUUAAAUUUAAAUGAAAAAUACAAAAAUUAAAACUAAAAAAAUCAAGUCAGGUAUCAAGUCCCCAGUGGAUGCUCUAACAUGAGCUCUUCUUUAGAAUAUUGAUAAUUAGAAUUUUUAAAUUCUAUUUGUAAUUGAUUAAGUAAUUUUCCCUCUGUCCAAUUAAUUAAUUAAACGCUUAGAGCAUUACUAUAUAACAAUAACAAGAUCAAUGAGAAAGCCUCCAUCAAAAAGAAACAUCUCAACAAACUCAUCCAGCAAAAAAUGCAAUAAAAUUGUUUUAAAAAUGGUUAAUUAUCCAAAAAUUCAUCAUCUUUGAGACAACUUUGGAUUUGGACAUUAGAUUUAAUACCUUCCAAUAAUAAAUACAAACAAAAACAAGAAAGCCAAUAUUCAUAUAGUUUUAUUUAUUAAGAAAAACAUGCAAGCUAAAACACACAUGUUUACAUUUGCAGAUAAGAGUAACCAUUUCUUCAAAGAAAGCAUAGAAACAACUGUGUGAAAGAAGGUUAGUAUGAGAAGCACAGCAGCUGAUACUUCAAGUAAUUCCUCCUCAUUCUUGCCAUCCAUCUCCCACGUCGAAGCCGUUUACAUCUGUUCAAACUCUCAAACACAUUCGAGUAGCAAAAAUCCAAUGAUGAAACCACAACAUUCUUCCCCAAUCUGUUGAACAUGCUGCAGAUCAUCUCAUCACUGCCUAUGAAGUUGCUGAUGACCCCGCUUCGUCGUAGUAUCUCAACAUCUUUGGUGGAUCUGAUGAAACAAUGUAUGAAAAACAAGUAAUCUGUCACAUACCUCGGAUGAUCAUCAGGGAAGAAGCAGAGCUCGUACGCGAUCAAGUUCCUCAACAUGGACUCUAGUUUUAUCUGAUAUGCAUUAAUGGUGGGAGUUUUAUGACUCCUUUGGCAAAACUGAUAUCCCUUAGACUCAUCCCUUUCGACCCUUUUAGCCUAAUCCCGGCCUCCUCCAUCUCCGAGGCAGAGCACGUGUGGUGCACCGUGUUGCAACCGUUGUUUUCAGUGAAGCACUUGGCUGAGAAUGAGAAUGAGAUGAAAGAAUCAUACACUAGGCCUAAUAGAUGCUCAGCACUGUGCAACAUAUCUGAACUCGAGUUGAGCAUUGAGGAAUCCGGCCAUGGGAACACGUCUCCGGCUAGAAAGAGGAGGAGAUGGUGUAUGUUAUCGUCUGGAUGUUCCAUCCUUGUCAUGUCGAAAAGCUCAUUCAACACGAAGAAAGGGAGCUGGUUCUCCAACAACAGAAGAUCAUGCCUUAUUUGGACUAACAUGUGAUUAAAUUGAAAUAUUUGAUCACUCAUGUCUCUCAAAUCACUAAACCAAUAGCUUCUCAGCAGCUCAAUCACGAAGCAUCCAUCAAGAAGCAACAUCUCCACAAACUCAUCUUGAUCAAGACUGAUUGUUUUCGCGUAGUAGAGGCGAGCCUUUUCCUCCAUUCUCCUCACUUCCAACACACAUUUCUCAACACUCAACUCAGCCCUUCUUCCUAAUGUUUUUCUUAGAUACCUCAGCUUGUGCUGCUCCAUGGCCUUAACGCGAUCUUUCCCACGAUGGAUUGGGCCUAUAGAGACUAAUUCGGGUUCAAAAUCCUUUUCAUUUACUUGCCUUAGGUGUUGAUAUACUUUGGCUAUGAUAGGCUUUGAGGGAGUGAGAGAAGUAGACAAUUGAUGAAGCAAGUUUUCAAUCUUAACAACAACACUGUCUCUCUCCUCUGUCAUCUUCAAGAAUUAAGCCAAGAAACCAGAAAUUAUAUAUGCUACAGAAGAAGAAAACACCAUAAAAAUAUUAAACAUGUAGCAAUCUACAUAGGUUCAUUUGUUAUUGAAACUUACAAGAUUAACAAAAUGUCGAGCAUACUUACUAGAUUAGGAGUAGGGAAUUUGAGUAGCUGAAACACGAAGCCAAAGCGUUGAUAUUGUACGUUGCUGCAGCUGAUUUCUUCUUGUUACAUUUCUUGUAAGAGAACUUUCAUCCCCUCUUAAUAUGCAUUAUUGGAGUAGUUUACAAAGCGAAUCUUGUGGCGGAAAUUAAGUCAAUUUCCAAGAACUUUACUUUAGAUAAAGAAAUUAAUGCUUAAGAAAUUUCAUGUGAAAUUUCGUGAAUGUGGGUUCGGUCAACGAAAUUGACGCCGACUGUGUGUCUUCACAAUUUUGCACUUUGGUCAACGAAAGUUGCAGGGAAAAUCAAAAUGAAAACAACAAGGGAAAAAUAUUUUUUUUAAAAACAUAAAUUAUAAAUAAAAUUAAAAUAUAAAUAUAUUCGGUUAAAUCGAUCAAUUCGGUCCGGUUCGACGGUUUUGAUUGCAAGUAGGGCUGGUUUCGCCUGAAUCGGCGGUUCACGGUUCACUGGAACCAGUCUGCCUGAGUAUAGAGGUUCAGGGUCCGGUUUGAACAAUCGAUUUUCGGGCCGAACCGGUUAUUUUUUUUUAAUAUUAAAUUUGAAUUUGAGUAUUGUGUAUAUUUUCACUCCAGGAUCAUCUAUUAGGCCUAAUUUAUCAAUGUUUCACUCCAUUUUCAACUCAGGGUGCGUUCUGUUUGUUUGUAAAUUUAUCAUGAGAAAAUGAAGGAUAAACAAAAUUUCACCCUUUAAAUCUUUCCUUUCUUUUUCCACAUAAACUCUGCCUCAGGCCGGCAUUCGCCUCAAACGGUCUAAACAAAACCUCCUCACUUUCAAAGCCAGAGUCCUCAAAUUCCCACCUCUGCAAGUCUCAGGCAAGACAGAGUCCCUUCUGAGGAACUUGAUGGCCUACGAGCAGCUCUGCCUCGAUGAUGAUCAUCCAAAACACGUGACAGACUACGCGUUCUUCAUGCAUUGCCUCAUCAGAUCAACGAAAGACAUUGAGAUACUGCGACGCAGUGGGAUCAUUAGUAACUACCCUACCUAGGAGGCGACGACAACAUCUGCCUAAUGUUUAACAGAUUGGGGACAAACUUUCUCAUCAGAUCAUCAGAUUUUUGCUACUCUGAUGUCUUUGUGAGCUUGAACAGGCAUUGUGGCCGCCGGCACAAGAAAUGGAUGGCGAAAUUGAGGCGAAACUACUUCAAUAGUCCGUGGUCCGUGAUCAAGUUCGUUGCUGCUGCAGUGCUGCUGCUGCUCACCUUAACACAAACUGUUUUUGCUAUACUUGCUUAUGAGCAGAGGAAUGAUGUGAUGAGAGUGCGUUUGAUUUCAAUGUGAUUCAACUAUGUAUGUAUGUAGGGAGAAAAUCAUUUGUAAUCUUAUCAACUGUUUAUCUAAUGUAAAAGAUUUGAGUAAAAAAUCACUUCAAAAAUUUGUUUUCCUUCAAAAAUUUCGUAGUAAAUUACCUUGGAAUUUUAGCUAGCAGUAAAAAUAAAAAAUAAAGUGGAAAAAAAGAAUCAUAAACUUCAACUGAUAGGCCUAGUUUAUGAUUCUUUCUUCUCAUUCUCAUUCACUGCAAACAACGGUAGCAACACAGUGCACCACACGUGCUCUGCCUCGGAGAUGGAGGAGGCCGGGAUUAGGCUACACGGGUCGAGAGGAAUCACUCUAAGGGAUAUCAGUUUUGCCAAUGGAGCCAUAAAACUCCCACCAUUAUGCUUAUCAGAUAAAACUGAGUCCAUGUUGAGGAACUUGAUCGUGUACGAGCUCUGCUUCUUCCCUGAUGAUCAUCCGAGGUAUGUGAAAGAUUACUUGUUUUUCAUUCAUUGUUUCAUCAGAUCCACCAAAGAUGUUGAGAUACUACGACGAAGUGGGAUCAUCAGCAACUUCCUAGGCAGUGAUGAGAUGAUCUGCAGCAUGUUCAACAGAUUGGGGAAGAAUGUUGUGGUUUCAUCAUCAGAUUUUUGCUAUUCAAAUGUGUUUGAGAGUUUGAACAGAUGCAAACGGCUUCGACGUGGGAGAUGGAUGGCAAGAGUGAGGAGGAAUUACUUGAAGAUAUCAGUUGCUGUGCUUCUCAUACUAGCAUUUUUUCACACAGUUGUUUGCUCUUACAAGAAAUGGUUACUCUUAUCUGCAAACAUGUUGUGUGUGUUUAGCUUGCAUGUAUAUCUUAAUCUUAAUAAAUAAUGAAUAUUGGCUUUCUUGAUUUUGUUUGUANNNNNNNNNNNNNNNNNNNNNNNNNNNNNNNNNNNNNNNNNNNNNNNNNNNNNNNNNNNNNNNNNNNNNNNNNNNNNNNNNNNNNNNNNNNNNNNNNNNNNNNNNNNNNNNNNNNNNNNNNNNNNNNNNNNNNNNNNNNNNNNNNNNNNNNNNNNNNNNNNNNNNNNNNNNNNNNNNNNNNNNNNNNNNNNNNNNNNNNNNNNNNNNNNNNNNNNNNNNNNNNNNNNNNNNNNNNNNNNNNNNNNNNNNNNNNNNNNNNNUCUGUCAAACAUGAGGCAGAUGUUGUCGUCCCUCCUAGGAAGUUACUAAUGAUCCCACUGCGUCGCAGUACCUCAAUGUCUUCCGUUGAUCUGAUGAGGCAGUUCAUGAAGAACACGUAGUCUGUCACGUGUUUGGGGUGAUCAUCAUCGAGGCAGUGCUGCUCGUAGGCCAUCAAGUUCCUCAGCAGGGACUCUGUCUUGCCUGAGACUUGCAGGGGUGGGAAUUUGAGGACUCCGGCCUUGAAAGUGAGGAGGUUUUUUUCAGACCGUUUGAGGCGAAUGCCGGCCUCGUUCAGCUCCGAGGCAGAGUUUAUGUGGGCUAAUGAGUUCCUAUGUUCACCUAUGUAAAGAGUUUGAGUUGAAAAUGGAGUUGAAAACAGAGAUGCUCUGUUUUGAUCAUGUUGAAGAGGUGGUUCAAGAAGGAGAAAGGGAGCUGGUUCUCAACAGCAUCAGGUCAUGUGUGAUCUGGCUGAGUGUCGUGGGCUCGAAGACGGGGUCUUUCUCUGUCGAGGCGUCGGAGACCUGCAUGUGCCUUCUCACGAGCUCGAUGAGGAAGCAGCCAUCAAGAAGCAGCAUUCUCACAAACUCAUCUGCAUCGACAUUUAGAGGUGUUGAGUAGCAUUGGAGGGCCAUCUCUGUUUUUUCACUCACUUUUUGGACCAGUUUUGCUAUGGUGAGAUCAUCUCUUCUCUGCAGAAGUUGCUGCAGAUACCUCAGCUUGUGCUGCUCCAUCCCCUUCAGAUGAGGUUUCCCUCGAUGGAUGGGGCCGAUAGCCACGAUCUUCGGUUCAUAAUCCUUUUCAUUCACUUGGCGCAACCGAUCAUCCACUUCAAAUAUUUUGGGUUGAAUAGUGUUGUUCAAAUUCUCAAUCAAACCUUGGAUGUUGCAAGUCACACUGUCUUCUCCAUUUGACAUCUGUGAGAACUCAGCCAAGAAAGAUGCCAAAGUUUCAAUGCCAGCAACUUUGAUAUAUAGAUGAGAAUUAAACCUGCAAGACGCGAUUAUUUGGACAAAAGCAUAGUCACAAUUUGAUCAAGAUUCAAGAUGGAGGGGAAAGACUCAAUGGUGUUUGCUGUUUCUAUACAUUCUUCGUGUGGAUCUAGAUUUAUAGAUAACAUCAGCUUAAGGCUAGGUGAAGAGCUAAACAACUUAACCAGAGUUUGAGAUUUUGAGUCCGAAACUACCAAGAAGUUUCUAUGCACGAGAAAUGUAAUUUCCUAAAGUUUUGGUGUUUUGGUACAUAUCUCAGGUUUGAGAAGACUAAAAAGACAAUGCUUGCAAAUUCACUAGGAAAUUUCGCAUGAACUUUCUCAAGCAUGAAGUCUUUCUAAAGUAUAGUUCUUGGAAAUUGAUUUAAUUUCUGCACCGAACGCUCACUUUGUCAAUACAAUAAUGAAAAGAGGGCAAAAAAGUUCUUUAAAAAUAAAAUAACACGAAGAAAUCUGCAGCAGCCAGGGGCAGGCCCCCAAAUUUUUAACUUCUUUUAAAAUUUUAUAUAUUUACUGAAUACGCCAACAAUUGUACUGAAUAAAAUAACUUUAUUGAGGGGAAAGUUUCACGAAGAAAUCAGCUGCAGCAACUUUUCUCGUCUAAGGAGCAACGCUUUGGCUUCAAGUUUCAGCUACUCAAAUUUUGUUUAUCUUGUAAGUUUCAAUAACAAAUGAACCUCUGUAGAUUGCUACAUGUUUAAUAUUUUUAUGGUGUUUUCUUCUUCUGUAGCAUAUAUAAUUUCUGGUUUCUUGGCUUAAUUCUUGAAGAUGACGAGGAGAGAGACUGUGUUGUUGUUAGAUUGAAAACUUGCUUCAUCAUUGUCUACUUCUUCACUCCCUCAAAGCCUAUCAUAGCUAAAGUAAUCAACACCUAAGGCAAGUAAAUGAAAAGGAUUUUGAACCCGAAUUAGUCUCUAUAGGCCCAAUCCAUCGUGGGAAAGAUCGCGUUAAGGCCAUGGAGCAGCACAAGCUGAGGUAUCUAAGAAAAACAUUAGGAAGAAGGGCUGAGUUGAGUGUUGA
Molecule: long non-coding RNA, 15326 nt
Filed under: Salvia miltiorrhiza (redroot sage)
Lineage: Eukaryota; Viridiplantae; Streptophyta; Magnoliopsida; Lamiales; Lamiaceae
Description: long non-coding RNA (SMIL_LNC007107)
Source: RNAcentral